UCCCUCUGUCUCCCACCCCUCAGGUAUUUAUUCACAUUGAUGAGAUCCCCUCUCAGUCUUCUUUUCUCCAGGCUGAACAGACCCAGGUCUCUCAGCCUUUCUUCAUAGGGAAGAUGCUCCAAAACAAAGUUGUGUUUUUGCAGUAGAGAAUUACUUUUCUGUAUUCCAAGGUAGUUGUGUAGUCAUAACAAGAAGUGCUAAGUAGAUAAGUGUACAGUAGAAGGCCUCACUGUUCCAAAAGGAGGUAGAAGGUUGAGAAGAACAGGACGAGCCGUGUGAGAAAAGUAAAACAAAGAUCACAAGUUCUCAAAAUGUAAGAAAGGAGAAAUUAAAGGGUUGAAAAAAAGAAAAAAUGUAUGGUAUAGUGGAGCAUCAGGUAGCUUGUGAACCUGUAGCACUCAGCCAGUGAGGAAACAGGGGAGGUGAUCAAGCGUUGGGUGAUAGGGAAUAAAAGGUUACGAUUUGUUUACUAAAAUGCACUCCUGAUUGACAGGACGCCUGCCAUUGCAAUCGCAAAUAAAAUAGCUCCACAGAAGAUCCUGUCUGAAGAAAAUUAUUUGAGAUUUUUCUCACAGUGUUAGGCUCUUUUGCCAGGCUGAACACAGGGAGGCACCCCAUUGACACAGAGGAAUCCCAGAAGGUGCCAUGCCAAGGGAUAGCUGCAAUACAGGAGGAAAAGGGAGAACAAGAGGAUGCCAGAGACUAAUGCAGAGCAGCGAGCGGGUGACAGAGCAGAGCAUGUGAGAGCACUUGGUGCAGCUUCUGGCAGCGCCCCCAGGUAGAAAUGGCAACCCCGACUGCAUGGUGACAGCACAGGUGAGAAGGAAGGCAUUCCCAAGCCUCAGGAACGCCUACUACAGCACUACAGGGAGCAGAGAUGGUGCUGCUGGGAACAUGCUCUCAUAGCUUGCAUCUAAAGCUGCAGUAUGUCCGUGACAAACCUCCAUGGAAAUGAGCAGCUCAGGGUAAGUGUGAGAAAGGAGAGAAUGCACGAGAGGCUUUUAGACACGUUGUCUUAACCCCCAACAUAAAGCUUAGAGGUUUUGAGGACAUUUCUCCCUCCCAGCACCUCUAAGUAUUUCCUUCUUAGAAAAAUAGUGGUUGAAAGGAAAGCUUUGCUUCAGAACAAAUGAGGUACCAGAAGAAAACAGAAAGGAGAGGCUUUGAAGAGCUUAACAUUUCCAACUCUGCCAUUGGA
This 1198-nucleotide long non-coding RNA is filed under the name Anser cygnoides (Swan goose). Its description in RNAcentral is "lncRNA (ENSACDG00005018777.1)". Lineage: Eukaryota; Metazoa; Chordata; Aves; Anseriformes; Anatidae. The record is from RNAcentral.